AACACGUUCACAAAAUGUUUCUGAGAAGAAGAUGUUAUUUUGCUCUAUGGACUCAAAUGGUGUUUCUGGCAAUACCACAAGUGGAACUACUAGAAAUUGGUUUGCUGCUCGAUCAUAAAUCUACCUAUUCUUUAUUGUCUGCGCAAAACUGGAUAGCUUAUUGAGUUAAAACUGUCUAUACUUACAUAUCAUCUUAUGCUUUCUUUCUGUGAGACCCCCUUGAUGUUUUCUACCUUCCAUCCAGAUAUUUCUAUCAGACAUUCCUAAAGCAUUACAAGGCUUAUCUGUAAGAUACAAGCUCAAUUUCAUUUGACUGUUUUCCAAUCUUCCUGGGUUGAUCUUCUAUUUCCAUCCUCUGAAAUCCAAUGUGGUAUAUGCAACAGAGCAGUUGGGGAGACCCGUAUCCUUACUGCUUUCCGUUUUGGCUCGUGCUUGCUCUUAAUCUUGCAUAGCCAUAUCAGAACUUUAUCUACAAUAUCUGCCACCUUCCCUAAUUAUGCUUACAGUUUCAAACUUUAAACUGAAAAAGAUAUGAAUGUGGGCAGCAGCAGAAGCUAUUGUAUUUACAUAUUCUUGGUGCACCGGGAAUCAACCAUACAGAAGAGGUAUGGUUGGUCUCUUAUGGGAUUGCAAUUUAUAUGAAAUUUCAUGUCUUGAGCAUGGCCAGAACAUUUGGAAAGCUAAUUCUUGUGGAUCUGGCUGGCUCUGAGAAGGUUGAGAAAACGGGAGCAGAGGGCAGGGUUCUUGAAGAAGCUAAAACCAUCGAUAAGUCCCUGUCAGCACUUGGAAAUGUAGUGCAUGCCUCGACAUGCGGUCCAAACGGAAGAGGAAAUCAUAUUCUGUAUCCCAACUUUAAACUUACUCGGAUAUUGCAAGAUUCUCUUGUAAGACUGCCGCACAUUAGUGCUUCCAUUAUCCUGCUAGUAAUGUGGUUGUCUCACAGUGAGGGAACUCUUAAAUGGCAUUACUAUGUUUUUGUUCACCUGGCCCUUCAAAUGCGUCAGAAACGCUGUCAACCCUGGUGCCAGGGUGAAGCAUAUAAGAGCAUCGCCGCGUGUCCAUUGUACCAGAGAUAAACAAGCUAAGACAAUCUGGACAUCUUUCCUAUCUGAAGAUGAAUUACAUGACAGAGCUAUGGAAAAGGUCAAGGAGAGCAUAGAUGCUGAAGCUGCAAGUUGCUUCAGGAUUUGUUCUCACAGGAGGGAACAGCAUUCAAUCUGAAUUUUCUUGAGGACUUGGAAUUUGAUCGGGGGAAGGUUGCUGUACCAACUAAUAUUAAAUUCGAACGAGCCCUGGAGGAGCUUGCCUCUGCUGUCGAGCUGCGAGAGAAAGCCUGAUGUGGUGACUGAGAAUCGAGUUACCAACUCAUUUAAAAACUCUUAAAGACCAGAACAAAGUUCUCGAGGCAAUGCUGGUAGUUGCGACAAAGAUGAUUUCAUCUCCAGGCAAGGCAAGAGGAAAUUUCGGCUUUCUGAGUGUAGAAUCUGGAGAUAAAUCAGACCUCUCGAAUCAGAAAUGCCCAUUGAGUACAAAAAGAAGUGUUGCAUUUUCAUGUGCGAGAAUGAACACUUUCAUUUAAGAGGCCGCUGUCAAAAACAUCACAGUUCAGCUUUUGUAAAUUCACUUGGCAAGGUAUGUAGCCAGAAAGAAUAUAGCAAGGUCUUUGGUAUCAUAUAUACAUCACAACUGUACAACCGUCACACUUCUAAGGCUCUAGUAAAAUGAAUGGACCGUAAAAUUUUACCCAUAUGCACAAUCGUAGCAGCCCACAAUGUUGUCCUGUUAAGCGAAUUGGAGUUUACGAGGCCUCAAUGUGGCAAAGUUCUCCACUCUCAGUUCAUAGUGAUACUGAUAUAGUCCUGGAGGAUAUGACCGCUGACUACAGUGCCCACGGCACUUGUUGACGAUAUGUUCCCUGAUGCAAUCACUCGAAGGCCUUGAUCAGGAAUGAUAGAAACAACUUCCACAGGAGGCCUACGUGUGCCAAUAACAAUGAUAUUGCCAAUAUGAACUCCUUGAAGAAGAGAUUCAGCAUGCUUAACAUCUCUUCCGCUGACGUAGGAACAGGCAGGAAAUUUCACUUUGAAAUGUCAGAUGGUGCACGUCAAAUAUUUCAUAUUGAUGUGGAAAGGACUUCAAUCCCUGGAGUUAUUAGAAGGCAAGGAUUAGAAGCAGAAAUCACAACAAAAUGAUGUCCCACUGUACCCAUACUGAUACCAGCAUUAUUGCGAGACCGAGUUGGGCAUAAUGGCGAGGAUGAAGGAAUGCCUUCCGAGUGGUCAGCCUUGGCGGGCAAACAAAGCCUCACUGCACUCAGGUGUGUCUGGAUUAGCCAACCAUCGCCUGCAAGGCUAGAGGCCGAAGUACAGACAUCAGUUUGGAAACCGACUGCAUUAGUCACAUCUGUAAAGCUUAGUCCAACAGAUAAUACCCUUGUUUCUUCGACAAAUGAUAGUACAUGGGAAGAAUGAUAAGAGGCUGUCACUUUCAUCUUCGUCAUCUAAAUACCAGUUAUGCCUUGAUAAAUUGGAAGCAGUUUCAACAGCUUCUCAACAUUGAUGCCACUUCAAAUAAUUCUGAGUGAUCCUUGGGGCGCCACUCCACAACAAACAUAUAAUCUUGUUUUUCAUCAUGAAAAUCUGCUAGUGACGUCCAAGAUAGGACAGUUACUCUGGAUAGCAUUUUGUACAUGUUAGCUUUUCCAUUUUCAUAUUUCAGGAUCUUCCCAUCUCUCAUCUCUUAUCUCAACAAUUGCAGCCAAGGAUGCCACCUUCUACCCACAGAAGAGCCUU
Long non-coding RNA from Eucalyptus grandis, 2792 nucleotides. RefSeq lists it as uncharacterized. NCBI's taxonomy places the organism in Eukaryota, Viridiplantae, Streptophyta, Magnoliopsida, Myrtales, Myrtaceae. The transcript is spliced from 5 exons. The record is from RefSeq and is a predicted model, not a curated record.